This is a long non-coding RNA of Camarhynchus parvulus, 256 nucleotides long. RefSeq lists it as uncharacterized. NCBI's taxonomy places the organism in Eukaryota, Metazoa, Chordata, Aves, Passeriformes, Thraupidae. The record is from RefSeq and is a predicted model, not a curated record. The transcript is spliced from 3 exons.
CCCGCCGGCCCAUCGGAUACGCUCCGGCCCCGCCACGGCCAAAGCCGCACCGUGGAUUUGACACCCGUGGGAUUAGACAGGGCUGUGCCCGCGGGAGGAGGAGAACUGUCCACGGCUGGCCUGGCUUUCCCCUCCGAUCUCUCUGCUCCUGGCUCAGAGCCAGCCCGACUGAAGAACUGCCUGACCCAGCGCAGCACAGGGCGUGUGCGGUGGGACGGGAGCUCACUCCAACACGAGCCGCGGGUGACAGAACGGA